CGGGGACGGUGCUGAGCUGGGCUUCGGCGCCGACCUCAGCAUCGGCACCGGCACCGGUGAGUGUUCGGCACCAGGAUCCCACGGGGAAUGGGAGGGGUGGGAUGGGCGGGACCCCCAAACCCGGCCCUGCCACGCUCCCCCUGCCUCGGCGUGGCUGCCCCUCCGCUUCUGUCCCCUCAGGCUCUCCGGGGUCGCUGGUGGAGCCUGAGAGACCCAAGAAGGGGAAAAAGGAAAAAAACCCCAAGAAGCCCAAGGAGAGACCCCGAGGCCCCAAGAAGGAUAAGGACAAGGUUAAGGACAAAGACCGGGGCAAGAACAAACCCCCCAAGAAGUCCAAGGAGAAGCCACCAAAAGGCUCUGAAAAACCUCCAAAAGCCUCUGAAAAAACCCCAAAAGGCUCCAAGAAGCCCAAGGAGAAGCCACCCAAGGCCACCAAGCCCUCUGGCAAGAAGCCACCAGUGCCACCAAGCCCCUCCCCUGAACUCCCCAGUACUCUGCAGCCCUCACAGGGCAAAGAGGAUGAAAAGACACACAGGUUCCUGGAGCCUUUGCACAACAAGGAGGAGGAGGAGGAGGAUGGAGGUGUCCGAGGAGAGCGAGAAGAGUCACUAAAAGAGCGCUGGGAGGACUGGAACCCUCAGCCGCAGCCAGAGGUCCCUGAGGAGCCAGAACCCCCAACUCUGGACUACAAUGAGCAGCUGGAGCGGGAGGACUACGAGGAUUGUACGGUGCUGGGCUGUAGGCGGGGGGCCACGGGGGCCCCUGGCCUGCAGGGAGGGAUGGAGGGCAUGCCCCCCCCCCGCCUCUCACCACAAGGCUACUGCCACCCUCUCUGUCCCCAGUCGAGUACAUCCGGCGGCAGCCCCCCAAGCCCCCAGGCAGGAGGAGACCUGACCGGGUCUGGCCCCAGCCCAAGGAGACAGGUACGUGGGAGGAUGGGGACAUGGGGGGGCUGGCACCGCUCAGGGUGAGGAAGGGGGACAGUCCCCAGCCUUGGGAGUCUGGGGAAGCAGCAUUUUGGGGCAGCCUGAAGCUGGGGUGAACAUGGGGACAGCACAGGGGGUGCAUAGACCCUGUAGGGGUGUGAAGAUCUCUUGGUGGCACAGAGGUCCUCUGGGGAUAUAGAGGGGUCCUGUAGGGACACAGAGAGCCCUGCAGGGACAUGGGGACCCUGUGGGGGCAUGGAGAACCCUGUAGGAAAAUAGAGUUCCCAUUGGAGCAUGGAGGACUCUUGCGGGAACACCAGAGGUGUGGGGAUCUCUGGGGACAUGGGCAUCCCAGUGGGAUACAGAGGAGUCCGGUGGGGACAUGGGGACCUCGUGGUACAUGGGAACCCAAAAGGGAAAUGUGGGUUCCAGAGGGGCAUGCUGACCCCAUAGGGAACAGAG
Molecule: long non-coding RNA, 1388 nt
Filed under: Cyanistes caeruleus (blue tit)
Lineage: Eukaryota; Metazoa; Chordata; Aves; Passeriformes; Paridae
Description: lncRNA (ENSCCEG00000018685.1)
Source: RNAcentral